UAGGGAAUCUUCGGCAAUGGACGAAAGUCUGACCGAGCAACGCCGCGUGAGUGAAGAAGGUUUUCGGAUCGUAAAACUCUGUUGUUAGAGAAGAACAAGGACGUUAGUAACUGAACGUCCCCUGACGGUAUCUAACCAGAAAGCCACGGCUAACUACGUGCCAGCAGCCGCGGUAAUACGUAGGUGGCAAGCGUUGUCCGGAUUUAUUGGGCGUAAAGCGAGCGCAGGCGGUUUCUUAAGUCUGAUGUGAAAGCCCCCGGCUCAACCGGGGAGGGUCAUUGGAAACUGGGAGACUUGAGUGCAGAAGAGGAGAGUGGAAUUCCAUGUGUAGCGGUGAAAUGCAUAGAUAUAUGGAGGAACACCAGUGGCGAAGGCGGCUCUCUGGACUGUAACUGACGCUGAGGCUCGAAAGCGUGGGGAGCAAACAGG
RNAcentral lists this ribosomal RNA (429 nucleotides) under Gemmatimonadota bacterium. RNAcentral describes it as "Gemmatimonadetes bacterium partial 16S ribosomal RNA". It matches the Rfam family "Bacterial small subunit ribosomal RNA", at positions 355 to 776 of the family's 1533-position model. The record is from RNAcentral. Lineage: Bacteria; Pseudomonadati; Gemmatimonadota.